CUUCACCACUGCAUCUAUUCUGACGCACAGCAUUCAUCGUGGAAGUAGACACAUCUACUCUGAGUACCAGGGCCUGCUUUAUUUGGUGUUGCCAGACAUGGGCCGAAAUUCAGACUUAGCUUGACUCACGUGAUUCUGCGCUUUCACCAAGGCACCAUGCACCUAACUUCUUGGCAUCUCAGGCCUCUGGAGACCCUGCUCCAUCCAUGGCACCAUUGCCAGGAAUUUCACUCAUUCAAAUGGCCACAUGAUGGAACUGACUCUCAUAGAUCACCUGACCAAGAUGGCGUGCUUCAUCCCUCUGUGCACGAGUACCUUCGGCUGAGAGGACAGAUCAGCUCCACAUUUCCAAAGGCCAAUGACACCUUUGUUUUGCUAUCUCUAGAUUUCCCACUGAUUUCAUGCCACACUACUAAUGGCCUCUCCGAACUUCCCAGCUAUUGAUCUGGGUCAACAAAUCCAUUACAUUCAAGAAGAACGACGGGAGCCCCUCGAGGACACUAGGAAGGAGUCAGAUAUUAUACAGACUGCUGAUGACAAGAGGGAAGCCAUUUGCUGAAGGGAGGUACCAAGUCUCUGGCACUGACCCAAUCCCUAUGCCCCGUCUGUUGGAGCAGUUCCUGACCCAUCCCCCUUGGCUGACCUUCUGAUCCCAUCCUCCUCCCCUGGCUCUAGGGAGCAAAGUCUGGGUCCCUUCCCUCACUCUGGCACAAUCCGUGCCCAAAGGAACCGAGUCCCUCACAGACAAUGAGACUGUCCUUCCUCCUCCUGCUUGUGGGUGGGGGGCUACUACCCCCGUUUUACAGACAGGGAAUGAAGGUGAUGAAGUGACCUCUCCAAAGUCACACCUGGCAAUGUGGAGGAGAUCUGGGAACUGGACUGGGUUAUACAGGAGUGCCCUCCGAACAGAGGCAGCUUCACUUUCUGCCCUUCGUUCUCUCCUCCCCUCGUGGCCCGUCUUCGAUGGGGAUCUCUGAACUGGAAAUGAGCAGGGGCUUCCUCCCGCUCUGUCUUCCAAUGUCUGGGAUCUGUCCACAGCAACGCAGCCUGCAGCUGGCUAGCUUGGGGAGCCAUAGCCUCACCCUGUGAAAUCCAGAAGCGCUGGCUCUCAGUGAUGCUUCGACGGAAAACCACGCACCCCACACAGAGGUUGGAACCAGCCAUUCCCAGGUUGUUCUGAGGAGCCAUGAUUUCUCCAGGAGCUGGGUAAAGGGCACAGUGAGCAGUCUGUCAGAGGAUUCCAGCUGGCUGUUCCAAUCCAGGAUGAAAACUCUGCCACUGAAAUCUCACAGCCUCUGUGCAGUGAAGUGCCACUUAAACCCGCUGUGAUGCACAGAGCUUGCCCUGGCUGUCCGCACAGGACUGAAUUUCACCCCUUCAGAGUGUAUUCGAAGGGCACCCCAUGCUUCAUAUGGGCAUUCUUGGGUGGGCAGAUUGCAUCAGACCUGCACCCGAAUAAAUAAUAGUGAAUGAAAUAUGCAGACACUAAAGUUCUGCAGCCAAAUUCUCAGAAACCUUCCUCUUGAAUGUAGGAUCAGGAUUUUGUUUCUAAUUGAUUUUUUUAAAAAGUGCUAAGCAGCUACUACACUGUAAUAAGAGGAAACAGAAGCAAAAACUGAAAGGCUGUUACUUAAACCAAUGAACAGAUGCAGAGAGUGGAAGCACGGCAAAGCACACCAAUGAAUACUAUGAGUAAAUAACCUGAAAGCAAAUAGGGAAGAAAACCUCAUCUGAGUAAUUGUGGCUCUUGGGACAAAAAUCGGGUUCCUGGAAAAGGAUCCCCAAAGGAGGUGUAAGGAUCCUGGACUCUAAUGUCUGCAAGAAGCUUCAGCCACCUUCACAGGUUAAAGUUCGCCAUCCAUUAGGAGGUGAAGACCAGAUGGGAGCUGCUGGAUUGACCUUGAUAUACCAUGUCCUUGAAUGGAUGAAGGACCUACAUCUCAGGGAUGGCCAGCAGCAGAUGUCACACAUGUGUCCAGGAAUAGGCUAAACAACCUACACUGAUAGAUCUCAGCCGCUCAGCAGAAUGCGGGAGAGCCGAGUGCUGAUGGGCUAGAGGGGUCCCAGGAGUCGCUGUGCAGCCGGUGCAGUGUCUGCAGUCACCAUGGGCCAAACCCUGCGCU
Trachemys scripta elegans is the source of this 2123-nucleotide long non-coding RNA. RefSeq lists it as uncharacterized. The transcript is spliced from 6 exons. The record is from RefSeq and is a predicted model, not a curated record. NCBI's taxonomy places the organism in Eukaryota, Metazoa, Chordata, Testudines, Emydidae.